CGGCGAUGUCCGAAUGGGGAAACCCAGUGCAAUUCGUUGCACUAUCGUUAACUGAAUACAUAGGUUAACGAGGCGAACCGGGGGAACUGAAACAUCUAAGUACCCCGAGGAAAAGAAAUCAACCGAGAUUCCCCCAGUAGCGGCGAGCGAACGGGGAGCAGCCCAGAGUCUGAAUCAGCUUGUGUGUUAGUGGAACGGUCUGGAAAGUCCGACGGUACAGGGUGAUAGUCCCGUACACCAAAAUGCACAGGUUGUGAACUCGAAGAGUAGGGCGGGACACGUGGUAUCCUGUCUGAAUAUGGGGGGACCAUCCUCCAAGGCUAAAUACUCCUGACUGACCGAUAGUGAACCAGUACCGUGAGGGAAAGGCGAAAAGAACCCCGGCGAGGGGAGUGAAAAAGAACCUGAAACCGUGUACGUACAAGCAGUGGGAGCACCUUCGGGUGUGACUGCGUACCUUUUGUAUAAUGGGUCAGCGACUUAUAUUCUGUAGCAAGGUUAACCGUAUAGGGGAGCCGCAGGGAAACCGAGUCUUAACUGGGCGUUAAGUUGCAGGGUAUAGACCCGAAACCCGGUGAUCUAGCCAUGGGCAGGUUGAAGGUUGGGUAACACUAACUGGAGGACCGAACCGACUAAUGUUGAAAAAUUAGCGGAUGACUUGUGGCUGGGGGUGAAAGGCCAAUCAAACCGGGAGAUAGCUGGUUCUCCCCGAAAGCUAUUUAGGUAGCGCCUCGUGAACUCAUCUUCGGGGGUAGAGCACUGUUUCGGCUAGGGGGUCAUCCCGACUUACCAACCCGAUGCAAACUACGAAUACCGAAGAAUGUUAUCACGGGAGACACACGGCGGGUGCUAACGUCCGUCGUGAAGAGGGAAACAACCCAGACCGCCAGCUAAGGUCCCAAAGUCAUGGUUAAGUGGGAAACGAUGUGGGAAGGCACAGACAGCCAGGAUGUUGGCUUAGAAGCAGCCAUCAUUUAAAGAAAGCGUAAUAGCUCACUGGUCGAGUCGGCCUGCGCGGAAGAUGUAACGGGGCUAAACCAUGCACCGAAGCUGCGGCAGCGACACUAUGUGUUGUUGGGUAGGGGAGCGUUCUGUAAGCCUGCGAAGGUGUGCUGUGAGGCAUGCUGGAGGUAUCAGAAGUGCGAAUGCUGACAUAAGUAACGAUAAAGCGGGUGAAAAGCCCGCUCGCCGGAAGACCAAGGGUUCCUGUCCAACGUUAAUCGGGGCAGGGUGAGUCGACCCCUAAGGCGAGGCCGAAAGGCGUAGUCGAUGGGAAACAGGUUAAUAUUCCUGUACUUGGUGUUACUGCGAAGGGGGGACGGAGAAGGCUAUGUUAGCCGGGCGACGGUUGUCCCGGUUUAAGCAUGUAGGCUGAUUGUCCAGGCAAAUCCGGAUAAUCAAGGCUGAGGUGUGAUGACGAGGCACUAUGGUGCUGAAGUAACAAAUGCCCUGCUUCCAGGAAAAGCCUCUAAGCAUCAGGUAACAUCAAAUCGUACCCCAAACCGACACAGGUGGUCAGGUAGAGAAUACCAAGGCGCUUGAGAGAACUCGGGUGAAGGAACUAGGCAAAAUGGUGCCGUAACUUCGGGAGAAGGCACGCUGGUGUGUAGGUGAAGUCCCUGCGGAUGGAGCUGAGACCAGUCGAAGAUACCAGCUGGCUGCAACUGUUUAUUAAAAACACAGCACUGUGCAAACACGAAAGUGGACGUAUACGGUGUGACGCCUGCCCGGUGCCGGAAGGUUAAUUGAUGGGGUUAUCCGUAAGGAGAAGCUCUUGAUCGAAGCCCCGGUAAACGGCGGCCGUAACUAUAACGGUCCUAAGGUAGCGAAAUUCCUUGUCGGGUAAGUUCCGACCUGCACGAAUGGCGUAAUGAUGGCCAGGCUGUCUCCACCCGAGACUCAGUGAAAUUGAACUCGCUGUGAAGAUGCAGUGUACCCGCGGCAAGACGGAAAGACCCCGUGAACCUUUACUAUAGCUUGACACUGAACAUUGAGCCUUGAUGUGUAGGAUAGGUGGGAGGCUUUGAAGCGUGGACGCCAGUCUGCGUGGAGCCAACCUUGAAAUACCACCCUUUAAUGUUUGAUGUUCUAACGUUGGCCCCUUACCGGGGUUGCGGACAGUGUCUGGUGGGUAGUUUGACUGGGGCGGUCUCCUCCCAAAGCGUAACGGAGGAGCACGAAGGUUAGCUAAUCCUGGUCGGACAUCAGGAGGUUAGUGCAAUGGCAUAAGCUAGCUUGACUGCGAGCGUGACGGCGCGAGCAGGUGCGAAAGCAGGUCAUAGUGAUCCGGUGGUUCUGAAUGGAAGGGCCAUCGCUCAACGGAUAAAAGGUACUCCGGGGAUAACAGGCUGAUACCGCCCAAGAGUUCAUAUCGACGGCGGUGUUUGGCACCUCGAUGUCGGCUCAUCACAUCCUGGGGCUGAAGUAGGUCCCAAGGGUAUGGCUGUUCGCCAUUUAAAGUGGUACGCGAGCUGGGUUUAGAACGUCGUGAGACAGUUCGGUCCCUAUCUGCCGUGGGCGCUGGAGAAUUGAGGGGGGCUGCUCCUAGUACGAGAGGACCGGAGUGGACGCAUCACUGGUGUUCGGGUUGUCAUGCCAAUGGCACUGCCCGGUAGCUAAAUGCGGAAGAGAUAAGUGCUGAAAGCAUCUAAGCACGAAACUUGCCCCGAGAUGAGUUCUCCCUGAGACUUUAAGUCUCCUGAAGGAACGUUAAAGACGAUGACGUUGAUAGGCCGGGUGUGUAAGCGCAGCGAUGCGUUGAGCUAACCGGUACUAAUGAACCGUGAGGCUUAACCUU
This 2797-nucleotide ribosomal RNA is filed under the name Klebsiella pneumoniae. Its description in RNAcentral is "bacterial LSU rRNA". It matches the Rfam family "Bacterial large subunit ribosomal RNA". The record is from RNAcentral. Lineage: Bacteria; Pseudomonadati; Pseudomonadota; Gammaproteobacteria; Enterobacterales; Enterobacteriaceae.